This is a long non-coding RNA of Pteropus alecto (black flying fox), 3462 nucleotides long. RefSeq lists it as uncharacterized. The record is from RefSeq and is a predicted model, not a curated record. The transcript is spliced from 2 exons. Lineage: Eukaryota; Metazoa; Chordata; Mammalia; Chiroptera; Pteropodidae.
GGAGGAGGGGGAAGAGACAGCCCCCCCACUCCAACCCCAGUUGGCCACACCCUUCUCACUCCUACUUAUCAAAGCUGCAGGGAGAAUGUCAGACCUCGGCAGAAAUAACUGUGCUGUCAGACCCUGGCGGAAUCUAGAAAAUUCUUCACCCAUAUCUUAGAGACGCGGUCACUGAGACCCAGAAAAAAGAAGGCACUUGCUCAAGGCCACACCGUGGGAACUAGAACCUGGAUCCUUACUGCCCCCAGCUGUCAGCCCCCACGCCAUCCUGGGCUUUGGGGCGGGGUCCCCACACUCACACAAGCCAUAACUGAGGACAGGAGGAUGGUCCCGGGACGGCAGCACCAGCUAGCUGAAGACUCCACCCAAGAGAUGGGACCCUGGGCCUCUCCCACCUUUUAAGUGGACCAGACCCUGCACCAAAGAGGGAGGAAAAUGUGGACCACAAGUGACUCAUAUCUGGAGGCUAGGCCAGCAAACCCGCCCUGCACUUCGAUGCCUCCCCGGUCCAUCUGCCAUUGCUCCUCACCCCAUCGGCCAAUUUCCCCCCAGAUGGCGGAAGCCCACUCUGGCACAGGUGGAGUAGGGAUUGCAUGGCACUUGGAGGUAGGACCAGAGAGGGGACUGGGCCGCACCCCCUGUGAGCCCCUUACCCCUCCUCCCAGCCUAAGCCAACUGCCUCACAAACCAACCACAGCAGCUUCAGUUUUUCCUCCAGGGCCUUCCCAAAACCUCAACCUAAGGAGGGCUGGGUGGGGCCCGGCUCCACUGCCUCUCUGCUUUCCCUCCAAGGGCCACAGGCACCUUCUCCGCCUGAUCAAGGAACUGGGGCAUUUCAGGAGGAGGCCUAGACCAAGAACAGAGGUGCUUCAGACACAGUCCUUGCCCGACUGCCACCAGGAGAAUAUGGCUGGCUGUUCUGGCCAGUGGUUGGGCUGUCAGUUCCCCAAGAACUGCUUCUCCGGUCUUCCCCCAACCCGGAGAACACACCCAACACCAGAGGAUGUUUGCUGUUGGACCAGGGGCUGUUUGACUCUUCGGUGUCUGGCCACCGAAGGCUGGUAGAGUGUGAAUAGGCCCCCAGAAGGGCCUCCUUUAGGAGUCUAGAGACGGGUUUUGGUCCUAGGCUGUUGCAGGAAGCGACACCCCGACAGAAGAAUUGGGAUUCUCAGACAACAUUGUUUAGAGGAAGGAGAAUUUAUUAGGCAGGCGGAGCAUGUGGGGUUAACAACUCCAUGCACAAGCUCGCUCUAGUUGGAUUUAUUACAGCUUAUAUACUUUUGCAGUGUCUAUGCAAGGGGCACGUGAUUCCUUUGUCUGAGGUUUUAUAUGUCCCUCCUUACUCAGAGUGGGGAGGGGGGGCUUCGGGUGGGAGGGCUGCAGGGGAGGAAUUUCUAGACCCCUGGUCUUACAGGUUGUUUGUCUUGUAGAGUCUGAGACCUUGGUGUUAUCAACACUAUUAUCGGAUUCUUGAACAGAGAGUCAGGACUCCUAGCUUACAGACAGGGAGCAGCACUCAUUGAUGUCACACCGCUCAGUGGGUUCCUUAUCCAAAGACUGAGCUCUAACUGUAACACAACAAAUAGUUCCACACAGUCUUGACAUUCAUACACAGCUACAGAGAUAAGGAAGGGGCUGGAGAAUCCUUGAGGCGGGGGAUACAGCUGUGGAAAACACGUUAACUGAAGAGCAUAGGGCAGAAUGGGGGAAGAGAGAGCGGUUUUAACUGGCUGAGUCGGUUAUUCCUUCAGGCCCUUUCCUUUGCAUUUUUUCAGAUGCCUCCUCUCCUCUCUCAAGGCCUGCCACACCCUCCCCAAGGCAUUCUGGGAGGUCCCUUCUCCCUGCUUGCCUCAAUUUCCCUGUCUCUAAAUUAGGAAGGUUAAACCCUGCUCUCUGCACUAGGUUAGUACAGGGUGGAGUUCUGGUCGGUUGUACUAAAUAGAUGAUUAUUUUUUUCAUCCUCUCAGGUUUUAGCUUUUUGUCCCAGGCUGUUUACCUUCCUGGGGUCAACACCUCUGGAAGGUCCCUCCACCCCAAUCUGAUCCCUGUCAGUCCCCUCCUGCCUGGGCUAGGGCAGGGAGUCUCUCCAGAUUCCAGUGUUCCCAAUAACAGAGACUGUAGUUUUUCUGGAGGAGGGACAGGGACAAGGUACAUUGUGUGGUGGCGCCCACUUAUCUGCCCGGCCUUGUGCCCGGCGCCUCACUUUCAUACAUUAUCUCAUUUCGUGUUUGCCUCACCUCUUCUUGUCUGCCAAGUGGACCGAAAGGCACAGGGAAGCUGAUCUGGGCCCUGAAAUAAAGCUGAUGUUACAAUCAGGAGAACAGAGGCAAGUCUUGGUUUGGGGGCUGCCUGGCUGUGACUGUAGCCAAGUGCUUGACCUCUCCGAGCCUGUUUCCAGGCCUGGAAAGUGGGAAUGUUACCCAGUGGCCGGCUGGUUGAAGGAUUAGGGGAGUGAUGUGUGAGGGGUUCGACAUUCGUUCUCUCUCCUGCACCCCCAGGCCAGGGCCCCCUCCUUCAGGGACUCUCCUCCCCACAUCAUUGUCCCACAGCAGAGGGAGAGGGCUUCUGGAACUCCUGUUUUACUGACCUGACCUACAGACUGGAGCUUGGCUGCUGCAUGAGAGAUCUCAGCUCACCUUCACAGGGGGUCCAGGCCAGCAUGACCCUUCCCAGCCUGCCCUGCCUUGUGCCCAUGAAGGCUGUGUCUCCUGCAGCAGGCAGUGGUGGAGAGGGCUGCUGGGCUCACUGAAACACCACCCACGCCCCCUGCCUGAACUGCUCCCUCAUUUGAUGACAUAGCAACCAUCCAGCGAGGAUGACUCCUUGACACAUGUCACACAGGAGGCUAGGGCCAAAGUCAUGUUAUCUGUUGAGCCAAGGAAAGAACAUUGUGGGCCUGGAAUACUUGGACCUCAAAUAAUGAUUCUUUUUGGGUCCUGCUCCUUGAAGGGUAGGAAGGACUAGUAGCAGGGGGAGGGGAACCCCCCUCAACUUCAGGCACUUUUCCAACUGCUUUUUUUCCAAGUGCAGGAGCUCACCCCCCACUCACCUUGCUCAUCCUCCCUGCCUUUGCUUGUGCUGUUCCCCCACACAGACAGCCACCUCCCCAAAUGCAGUGGUCGUUGGUCACUUUUGCCUUCCCACCUGGUUGGUGUCUGUCCCAGCUCUGAUCACAGGCUCCAACUUGCCUUUGGGGAACCGCCCCUUCUCUCAUGUGAGGUCUGGCUGAGGACAGGCCCUAUCAUUCCUUAGACCCUCAGGGCUCAGGCAUGAGGCUUUUUUAGGGGUUUGGUUUUUUUUUUGAACUUUUUCUUUUGUCAUAAUUAUAGACUCACAGGAAGCUAAGAGCUUUUUAAGAGCUUAGAAAAUAUUUGAGACCUGAAGAAAAAAAAUGUCUUGGCUCCAAAAUACUAAAACUGCAAAGCUGGAAUUAAUAAAUGGUUGCUGUGCUCAAACUUAAAA